AGGACGAACGCUGGCGGCGUGCUUAACACAUGCAAGUCGAACGAGGUGCUUGCACCUAGUGGCGAACGGGUGAGUAACACGUGAGCAACCUGCCCUUGGCUCUGGGAUAGCCUCCGGAAACGGGGAUUAAUACCGGACAUGACCUUGGUCUGCAUGGACUGAGGUGGAAAGUUUUUCGGCCAGGGAUGGGCUCGCGGCCUAUCAGCUUGUUGGGGGGGUAACGGCCCACCAAGGCGACGACGGGUA
This 246-nucleotide ribosomal RNA is filed under the name uncultured bacterium. RNAcentral describes it as "partial small subunit ribosomal RNA". It matches the Rfam family "Bacterial small subunit ribosomal RNA", at positions 26 to 285 of the family's 1533-position model. The record is from RNAcentral.